This 284-nucleotide unclassified non-coding RNA is filed under the name Hevea brasiliensis (rubber tree). The record is from RNAcentral. Lineage: Eukaryota; Viridiplantae; Streptophyta; Magnoliopsida; Malpighiales; Euphorbiaceae.
CAACCUCAUACUUGAAUUGCCAAUGGCCGUAAUGCAUCUCAUUGUAGAGGAUAAUAAAAGGCCAUGCAUGAGCAAAAUAUUAACCUAAAUGCCAAACAUAACAUCAAAUAUUUUGGACACUAGAGACUUGGUUGGGGAAGCAAUGGCAACUGCUGACUGCUGGGUGCUGCCACUGCCAUUUUGAAGAUAGUAGGGGCGAGAAGAAGCUCUUAUUGUCUUCAAAUCUGCACUUCUAGAUGGUGGUGGGGGUAAAGUAAUGAAUCCCUGAUUGUUAAGUCUUUCAU